AAAAAUGGGUGCGUCCCCCAACCUGAUGCUAGCCCCUUUCCUGUUACUUCUCAGCCACAGCAGGAGCCCCUUGUCUUUCAGGCCAUGCAGCCAUGUUCCGGGAGCCCUAAUUGCACAGAAGCUCAUGGGGAGCUCCAGACCUGCAGCCCUGCUCUUGCCUCUCCUCCUCGUAGUCAUCGACCUCUCUGAUUCUGCUGGGAUUGGCUUUCGCCACCUGCCCCACUGGAACACCCGCUGUCCUCUGGCCUCCCACACGGUAAGGUGCCGCUGCCAGAUAGGGACACCUGCCUGGCACAGCCAUAAAUCUCCCCACUCCCCUGCCUGCCCUGUGCUACCUCCGCAGUCCCUGUGCUCUGGUGGCAGCUUUCAUGUGUCCUCUACAUAGUCUCAAAGGGGUAGCCAAAGUCCUUUGUGCUGGGGGCCUGGACAGGGUGGAGCUGGGAAGAUAAGAGCCAGAGGGUAUGGGCUAUUAGCUGUGGGGCUCAGAAUUCGCUGAUUUGAAGCAAAGACCCCAGGAAUGCUUCUUUUGGGAGUCUCUCCUAAUAAUAGCUCUCUCCUUUCUUUUCCCUACU
RNAcentral lists this small RNA (572 nucleotides) under Pongo abelii (Sumatran orangutan). Its description in RNAcentral is "retained intron". Lineage: Eukaryota; Metazoa; Chordata; Mammalia; Primates; Hominidae. The record is from RNAcentral.